RNAcentral lists this long non-coding RNA (615 nucleotides) under Homo sapiens (human). RNAcentral's name for it is "non-protein coding lnc-BNIP1-4:3". The record is from RNAcentral. Lineage: Eukaryota; Metazoa; Chordata; Mammalia; Primates; Hominidae.
GGUUCCUAACUUCUCUGAAGUCAAGUUGAGCGUCCACAUCUAAAGCCCCAGGAUGAGCCUCCUGGUGGAGGAGAGUGCUCCUGCCUCUCCUGCCUCUCUUUAUGGAUUGUAUGUCAAGGAGACACCCGCAAGGACUCUGGUGGCCUGGACAUACUUCUGGAAGACUGACUCUUCCAGACUGAUGAAACCAAAGGACUGGACAGUGUUGAAUCCUUGGGGGGAAGAAAAACCAACACUUUUUUUUUAAGCUGACAGCACAUUCCAUCCACUCGGCAAUGUAGAACUAAUGAAGAUAUAAGUGUAAGAAAACCUAUAAUUGAAUCCAGCACGUAGCAAGCAUAGUUGAGCGGCGAGUACACCCAAGCUGAAAUCACAUGUGCUCCUGUCUAAUCCUCUCCGGGCGCCCAGCACAGGGAAAUAUUUCUGGAUUGUGUCUCAGGCUGUGAUUUCUAUCCAAGGCAGAAUAGAAACGGCCUUUUCCCUGGGCAGAGGCUUUGGGCUGUCAGGGGACACCUGAGUUGCCUUUGAUAAGGCUGCCGUUUGGAUGGUGAUUUAAAGAGCAAGUCUAGAAAAAAAUAACCUUGAGAAAGAGGAGUGUUUUGGACUAGAGCCCUU